This 440-nucleotide ribosomal RNA is filed under the name uncultured bacterium. RNAcentral's name for it is "partial 16S ribosomal RNA". It matches the Rfam family "Bacterial small subunit ribosomal RNA", at positions 338 to 795 of the family's 1533-position model. The record is from RNAcentral.
CCUACGGGAGGCAGCAGUGGGGAAUAUUGCUCAAUGGGCGAAAGCCUGAAGCAGCAACGCCGCGUGGAGGAUGAAGGUCUUCGGUUUGUAAACCUCUUUUGUCAGGGAAGAAAAUGACGGUACCUAACGAAUAAGCACCGGCUAACUCCGUGCCAGCAGCCGCGGUAAUACGGAGGGUGCAAGCGUUAUCCGGAAUGACUGGGCGUAAAGGGCGCGUAGGCGGGGUAGCAAGUCAGAUGUGAAAUCCUAGGGCUUAACCAUAGAACUGCAUUUGAAACUGGCCUUCUAGAGUGUGGGAGAGGUAGGUGGAAUUCUUGGUGUAGCGGUGAAAUGCGUAGAGAUCAGGAGGAAUACCGAUUGCGAAGGCGGCCUGCUGGAACAUGACUGACGCUGAGGCGCGAAAGCGUGGGGAGCAAACAGGAUUAGAUACCCGGGUAGUC